UGGCGAACGGGUGAGUAACACGUGGGCAACCUGCCCAAAAGAGGGGGAUAACACUUGGAAACAGGUGCUAAUACCGCAUAACCAUAGUUACCGCAUGGUAACUAUGUAAAAGGUGGCUAUGCUACCGCUUUUGGAUGGGCCCGCGGCGCAUUAGCUAGUUGGUAGGGUAAAGGCUUACCAAGGCAAUGAUGCGUAGCCGAACUGAGAGGUUGAUCGGCCACAUUGGGACUGAGACACGGCCCAAACUCCUACGGGAGGCAGCAG
This 264-nucleotide ribosomal RNA is filed under the name uncultured bacterium. RNAcentral's name for it is "partial 16S ribosomal RNA". It matches the Rfam family "Bacterial small subunit ribosomal RNA", at positions 96 to 354 of the family's 1533-position model. The record is from RNAcentral.